GCUGAGUUGGGUAACGCCAGCUUGUAACUCAAGUGAGGGCAUUACGGUGGUGGGAUAAUACUGUGGUUUCACUGGGUUGGGCUUUGAUUGCAAAAUGCUGGUCUGCCCACUCCAAGUUGAGAGCUGACCCACGGGUCCUGAGCGAAGGCUUGGGUCUCUUGAGUCCUAAAGUGGAUGGCAAUGCGUAAGGCUGGUUUCACAGAGCAGCGAAAACCUCCCUCUCCCGACAGUGGAGGGAUAGCAGACUGCUGUAUUCAUGGCCCUGUAUGCUCAGUGAGCCCAGCUUACUUAGACCACCCACUGUU
This is a non-coding RNA of Vigna angularis (adzuki bean), 305 nucleotides long. NCBI's taxonomy places the organism in Eukaryota, Viridiplantae, Streptophyta, Magnoliopsida, Fabales, Fabaceae. The record is from Rfam.